GUGCUUGCUUCGGCAGCAUGUAUACUAAAAUUGGAACGAUGCAGAGAAGAUUAUCAUGGCCCCUGCACAAGGAUGACAUGCAAAUUUGUGAAGUAUUCUGUAUUUUA
Accipiter nisus (Eurasian sparrowhawk) is the source of this 107-nucleotide small nuclear RNA. The record is from Ensembl. Lineage: Eukaryota; Metazoa; Chordata; Aves; Accipitriformes; Accipitridae.